CCCAACCCUAAUCAAUCCCCUCAUUCGAUUUCAGAUCAUGUGGUUCCAGUGGCAAUAAUCUCGCACUGUCUUGGCAUGCUAAUACUCUACAUUAGCCGAAGUGUAGUAAAUUUAAUCGGUUGUCCCUGUGGCACAAGAGUAGAUUCUCUAGAAACCCUAAGCGCUUUCGAUACUACAGUAGGAAGCGUCAUACAUCUCUCAAACAAGAAGGCCACAUCAUCGGCAGAUCCAGAGAAGGACGAAGACCUUAGUACGUUUAGGAAAUUAAUUGUUAGGACGUCUUCAGAAACGGAUAAUGGUACAACCAUUAGUGUUAUCAAGUAGUUAGAAUUUAGUUUGUACAGUUACUUCUCAAGGAUAUUCAUAGCGAAAUUUUAUAACACAACCAGGGGUAUGGCUUAAAAAUUUCAGUAAAAUAAUGCACUCAAAUGAGUCAAAAUAUUGAGAAAAAUUACUCAUUAACAAUUCAUGAGCAAAUUUACUAAAGUAAAAAUUAAUUUACUAAAAACAUUCAGUGAAUUUAAAACUUCAAUGCUACGCUAAGGGAGCGGUCAUUAUUUCGGGGGUGGCACCGAAAGAAAAGGGUUGGGUAAACAACAUUUUGAGUGAGUAAAAGGUUGGGUAAAUGAAAAACAAAAAAACUCAAGGGUUGGGUAAUAAAAAUUUAUUAUCAUUUCCAAAGCAUGACUCGCUCGAAUAUUGGAGACAAAAAAGCAAUGUCAACAGUCAUAUGUCAAUACAAUAUGUAAAUCAAUCAGAGUCACUGUCUUGAUCAUUUUCCGAUUUGUCAGGAGGCAAAUGGUGUCUCCAAAGAAAGUACAUGUGCAGACAACAUGAAAUUUUAGACUGCAGAAAAUUGUACAAGCAGUUAUCAAACUCAUGUCACAGAAGUGGUAAAGGACAUGUGUGACAACUGAACGGUAUCCUUUUGUAAAGUUUUUGGCCAGGGUGGGUAUUUAUUUUUUAAUUCAUAUUUGAGAUUGGGUAAAAAUUUAACUUUUUAAUGGUUGGAUCAGAAAUAUUUUUAUCGAGAAAAACGUUUCUCUUCGGUGCCAAUGCCCCGCCAUAAAUAAUGACCGCUCCCUAAUAAUGUCUUCGCAAUUUUGUAAACGACAAAAAAAUAUGGAUUGCACUUAGAAUAGGAAAGCAAAAGCUUUGUAAAUUUGGGGAAAUCAACAAGCUGUAAAUUAUUAUUUAUACCGUAGAUGAAUGAGACCAUAUAUAUCAUUGGAAUGGGAAAUGCAGUGACUUUAUUGGCAGUGAUACUGUGAACAAAUCAUGUCUGAUAUUUUUAUGAUAGGUCUAAUGCAAUUCAGCACAUUUUGCGCGCACAGCAUAUUCUACGCGCGGGUUUUAAGCGUGCUACCUUCCGACUUCAUGUAAAGCGCCGAGAAGCAUAGCCAUCAACUUAAUGUCUGCUCCAGAGGGCAGAGGGAAAUGGUUACUUUUAUAAUAAUAUACAUAAAGAUAUUACUCGACUGUGAUUGGUUGAUUUCAGUGCAGUUAAUCCCAAACAGCAGUGCAAUUUUCAGUAAUCACAGUGCAAUUUUCUGUAAUCACAGUGCAAAAAUCUGUAACAAACUGAUCUGAUUCGUGGAAAAACAUUGUGAUGAUUAAAUCAACCAAUCAGUUUAAAGCAAUUUGGUUUAAAGAAGUAACGGUCACAGAUUGUUUCAAAACAAAACAAACAUGGCGACGCGCUACAUGAAGUGAAAGUUGACUUCGGUUGAAAAAUAUGGCUUUUAUCUUUUUUAAAUGGAAAAGCCUUUGCCUUAAACAAGUCUAACAAAACUUACAUAGUUGAGUGGAAUUUUCAAGCUGUCAGCGUUGUAUAAUGUGAUAUAACAAAGCCAGGAAAACUUUGCUAUAGUGGAUUGUUCGCUAUAUUAAACGUAAGUUAAAACAACAAUUGUCUCGAACAUUUUUAUGUAAAUUAUUAAUUAAUAAGUAAUAUCAUGGUUUCUCGUGAAAUUUGGAUAAACAUGCACUCGCGAGUUUUUCAAAGACCUCAAAAUAGCUCUCGUCCUUCGGACUCGUGCUAUUUUGAGGUCUUUGAAAAACUCACUCGUGCAUGUUAUAUCCAAAUUGCACUCAAAACCAUGCUAUUACCUAUACUUAUCCCAGAGUCUCAAUGUGUUCCGAGACGAACUCGAGGGAAACAUCGAGAUAACAACAAUUGUAUUUCAUGACUCUUUAGUGUAAACGAGUUUAAAGCCUUAAAGGAGAUUGGCAAUAAAAUAUUAGUUUAGUUUAUUUGAAAGAACUCUUAAAACUAUAUAUUAAACUCUAUUACAGAUUGUUUAGAUCUUGCUUCGUUUUCAAAAUAUUUCGACUGAAAAAAGUGAGCUGUUCGCCAUCUUAGAUUAUUGAGGAUAUGCAUGUUACGUCAAGAGAGGGGUCACGCUAAUUUUUUAUCUUGAGAGUAAACGAUCAAUAUGGGUCCAAAACUUCGUUUCUGGUUGCUGUCUGAAAUUUAGAAAUAAUUAAAAACAUUUGAAACAAUCUUGGAUUGUUACUCGGUCAUUUUAGAGUAGUUUUAUAUGGUUAACCCAACUCCUGACGUCAUCAAAACCAUAGUUAAUGAGGUCAAGAAUUAGUCCAAGAUGGCGAACAGCUCAUUAAUUUCGCUCUAAAUAUUUCGAGAACUAAGCAAGAUACGACAAAUCGGUAACAGAGUUUAAUAUAUAAUUUAAGAGUUCUUUUGAAUGAGACAAACUAAUUUCCUACUUAAACGGUUUCAGCAGCAUAUCUUAUUGCCUGUUGUAUAUUUUUCUUCUUCAUUUACGUUCUUUAUUUUAACACAAACUUGGAAAAUCGUAGUUUAAACUUGGUAAACUUGCAAGCUGUGCUAAUCACGUUUGGUGUUCAACACUUCAACCAAGCUAUACCGAGUAAUACCGGGUGUUCCCCCCCAAAAUCUGGACACUGUUUCGUUUCAUGUAACUUAAAAGCUAUAAAGCUAUCGCAAUGAAAUAAAGAUCACCACAUUCAGAAAGGACUAACUAAGAUUUUGGUAUUUGACACUUGAAUUUACAUGCAAUAUUGAGGGAGAUACAACCAAAUUAAAAAUAUUUAUUAUUUAACAAGUAAUAACUACAUCGGUAAUUAUAAGGUUGUUUUUACAGCUAAUUUUUGACAUUUUCAAAAACAGUAGUUCAACGUUGAAACAUCAAUAGCGCAAUCAAUAUUGCAUGUAAAUUCAAGUGUUAUACAUCAAAAUCUAAGUUAGUCCUUUCUGAAUGCAAUGAUCUUUAUUUCAUUGCGAUAGCUUUUAUAGCUUUUACGUUACAUCACUUACAUGAAAUCAAACAGUUUCCAGUUUUUUGGGGGACACCCGGUAUCACAACGCUAUUUAUUGACCCAAUAUCGCUACUGUACAAUACAAAAACUCUUAAGAAUCAGCUUACAGUUUCCAUAUCAUAAUUUUUCGCCGCUCCAAUCCAUUCACCCUCAACUGUCAUAAGAAAACCGGUCUCCAUGUUGUUUGACAUAAACUUUGAAAGCCUUGCCGUAUUUAUUCAGUCUAUAGAGUUCAUUGUCGAUGAUUUUGUAUCGUCGACGGCGUCGUUUGGGAGGUCUGGUGUCUAGUAUCUCGUUGUCUUCUGAGACAAGUUCUGGCUCGAGUUCCCAAGGCUCCGUUUUCUAU
Molecule: non-coding RNA, 3646 nt
Organism: Paramuricea clavata
Lineage: Eukaryota; Metazoa; Cnidaria; Anthozoa; Malacalcyonacea; Plexauridae
Source: the annotation of a GenBank genome assembly